Molecule: ribosomal RNA, 253 nt
Filed under: uncultured bacterium
Lineage: Bacteria
Description: partial 16S ribosomal RNA
Rfam family: Bacterial small subunit ribosomal RNA
Source: RNAcentral
GACGAACCGAGCGAACGUUAUUCGGAAUCACUGGGCUUAAAGGGCGCGUAGGCGGGUCAGCAAGUCAGGGGUGAAAUCCCACGGCUCAACCGUGGAAGUGCCUUUGAUACUGCUGAUCUCGAGGGAGGUAGGGGCGUGCGGAACUUCCGGUGGAGCGGUGAAAUGCGUAGAUAUCGGAAGGAACACCGGUGGCGAAAGCGGCGCGCUGGACCUCUUCUGACGCUGAGGCGCGAAAGCCAGGGGAGCAAACGGG